RNAcentral lists this ribosomal RNA (460 nucleotides) under uncultured bacterium. Its description in RNAcentral is "partial 16S ribosomal RNA". It matches the Rfam family "Bacterial small subunit ribosomal RNA", at positions 338 to 795 of the family's 1533-position model. The record is from RNAcentral.
CCUACGGGUGGCAGCAGUGAGGAAUAUUGGUCAAUGGGCGCGAGCCUGAACCAGCCAAGUCGCGUGAAGGAUGAAGGCCCUACGGGUUGUAAACUUCUUUUGUAAAGGAAUAAAGUGAGGCACGUGUGCCUUUUUGUAUGUACUUUAUGAAUAAGGAUCGGCUAACUCCGUGCCAGCAGCCGCGGUAAUACGGAGGAUCCGAGCGUUAUCCGGAUUUAGUGGGUUUAAAGGGAGCGGAGAUGGGUUGUUAAGUCAGUUGUGAAAGUCUGGGGCUCAACCGUAGAAUUGCACUUGAUACUGGCAGCCUUGAGUCCAGUUGAGGUAGGCGGAAUUCGUGGUGUAGCGGUGAAAUGCUUAGAUAUCACGAAGAACUCCGAUUGCGAAGGCAGCUUACUAAACUGACACUGACGUUGAGGCGCGAAAGCGUGGGUAGCAAACAGGAUUAGAUACCCUAGUAGUC